UGGCUGCUUGUCGAAAGAAUG
This 21-nucleotide non-coding RNA is filed under the name Arabidopsis thaliana (thale cress). The record is from RNAcentral. Lineage: Eukaryota; Viridiplantae; Streptophyta; Magnoliopsida; Brassicales; Brassicaceae.